This 495-nucleotide ribosomal RNA is filed under the name uncultured bacterium. RNAcentral describes it as "partial 16S ribosomal RNA". It matches the Rfam family "Bacterial small subunit ribosomal RNA", at positions 28 to 507 of the family's 1533-position model. The record is from RNAcentral.
GACGAACGCUGGCGGCGUGCCUAAUACAUGCAAGUAGAACGCUGAAGGAGGAGCUUGCUCUUCUGGAUGAGUUGCGAACGGGUGAGUAACGCGUAGGUAACCUGCCUGGUAGCGGGGGAUAACUAUUGGAAACGAUAGCUAAUACCGCAUAAGAGUAGAUGUUGCAUGACAUUUACUUAAUAGGUGCAAUUGCAUCACUACCAGAUGGAGCUGCGGUGUAUUAGCUAGUUGGUGGGGUAACGGCUUACCAAGGCGACGAUACAUAGCCGACCUGAGAGGGGGAUCGGCCACACUGGGACUGAGACACGGCACAGAGUCCUACGGGAGGCAGCAGUAGGGAAUCGGGGGCAAUGGACGGAAGUCUGACCGAGCAACGCCGCGUGAGUGAAGAAGGUUGUCGGAUCGUAAAGCUCUGUUGUAAGAGAAGAACGAGUGUGAGAGUGGAAAGUUCACACUGUGACGGUAUCUGACCAGAAAGGGACGGCUAACUACGUG